AGAGUUUGAUCCUGGCUCAGAUUGAACGCUGGCGGCAUGCCUUACACAUGCAAGUCGAACGGCAGCACGGGAGCAAUCCUGGUGGCGAGUGGCGAACGGGUGAGUAAUAUAUCGGAACGUGCCCAGUCGUGGGGGAUAACGUAGCGAAAGCUACGCUAAUACCGCAUACGAUCUACGGAUGAAAGCGGGGGACCUGUAAGGGCCUCGCGCGAUUGGAGCGGCCGAUAUCAGAUUAGGUUGUUGGUGAGGUAAAAGCUCACCAAGCCUGCGAUCUGUAGCUGGUCUGAGAGGACGACCAGCCACACUGGAACUGAGACACGGUCCAGACUCCUACGGGAGGCAGCAGUGGGGAAUUUUGGACAAUGGACGCAAGUCUGAUCCAGCAAUGCCGCGUGCAGGACGAAGGCCUUCGGGUUGUAAACUGCUUUUGUACGGAACGAAACGGUCUGCUUUAAUACAGUGGGCUAAUGACGGUACCGUAAGAAUAAGCACCGGCUAACUACGUGCCAGCAGCCGCGGUAAUACGUAGGGUGCGAGCGUUAAUCGGAAUUACUGGGCGUAAAGCGUGCGCAGGCGGUUAUAUAAGACAGAUGUGAAAUCCCCGGGCUCAACCUGGGACCUGCAUUUGUGACUGUAUAGCUAGAGUACGGUAGAGGGGGAUGGAAUUCCGCGUGUAGCAGUGAAAUGCGUAGAUAUGCGGAGGAACACCGAUGGCGAAGGCAAUCCCCUGGACCUGUACUGACGCUCAUGCACGAAAGCGUGGGGAGCAAACAGGAUUAGAUACCCUGGUAGUCCACGCCGUAAACGAUGUCGACUUGGAGGUUGUGCCCUUGAGGCGUGGCUUCCGGAGCUAACGCGUUAAGUCGACCGCCUGGGGAGUACGGCCGCAAGGUUA
Molecule: ribosomal RNA, 895 nt
Filed under: uncultured bacterium
Lineage: Bacteria
Description: bacterial SSU rRNA
Rfam family: Bacterial small subunit ribosomal RNA
Source: RNAcentral